Molecule: long non-coding RNA, 1169 nt
Organism: Ziziphus jujuba (common jujube)
Lineage: Eukaryota; Viridiplantae; Streptophyta; Magnoliopsida; Rosales; Rhamnaceae
Exons: 2
Source: RefSeq, a predicted model, not a curated record
AUGAAAAAUAAUUAAAGAAUUAAUUAUAUAUUUAUACAAUAUACAUUUAAACAAUGUUACAUUCACUUUUAAAAAUACUCUGUAAGUUUUUAAAAGCUCUUUUUGAUUUACAGCUAGAAAGUUUAUCGAUAUGGAAAGUGGCUACUAUUAGGUCCGACCGUAUGGUGUAUUUGCGGACAAAAAACAUGCUAAAAUCCAUAGCCAUUGGAUUGUCACACUUGGCACGGACGGAUGAGAUUGAAGUGCAACUCAAGUGUGAAAAUUUGGCCCAAAUCUCCCUUCCUGCCUCGGUCAGCCGCUGCCAAAAUUCCCCAAAUCCAACCCUACCAAAAUUUCCUGUUUUACUCCCAAUCUACCUUCCUCUUCUACUCUUCUACCAAAGUUCUUGUCUGUCUUAGGACUCUGCACUUAUCAACCCGAAAUCAAGAAUGGACGCCGACGAUGAUGGCGAUGACGGGAAUGGGCACGGGCGAUCUUCCCGAAAAAUGACUCCAUUUGGGUUCGACGCGAGACAAACUUGAAGAUUACCCAUUAAUAUAAACCCAAUUGCUGGAGACUAGAAUAUAGCGUUAGAAUAAAGCUACCUAGAAACCCAAAAAAUAAAUGCCAAAUAAUACAGAGAAAUUGAGAUGGGGAAGAAGAAAGGUUAUGGCUUUAGGAAUGGAAUUGGGGGAAAAUCCAUGUAUAGUAUGAGAAAAUAAAAUCCCAAAAGUGAGAGCUAUUUUAGGUUUAGAUUUAUUUUUGGUUCUGAUUCUAUGUUUUUUUUUUUUUUUUUUUUUUGCUUACCCAAAAACCCACCAAGGCUUGGGGCUUACUGGAACGGUGGGAAUCUUGAUCUUGAAGCUUGUUGAAGCAGGGUAUUUGGGAGCCCAAAUGGUGGAUGGUUACUGGUUGCCAGAACAGUGGAAGCAAAGGAGAAGAUGAAGGGUAGGAAAAGCUGUGCGGCAUGUGAGAGAGCUUUUUUGGAAGGGAAAUUAUGAAUGUAAUCUAGACCCUUGAGUUUAAUCUGAAGGCCAGGAUUAAAAGCAUAUUUUUGGACCGUAUAUAAAACUAUCAAGACCGACCUUAUUGUAGCCCCUCCCUUUCGAUAUGUACAGAUUAUAACUUUGUCUACUAGUAUAAAUUUAUUAUGGUAUCCAAUUAAUUAAUAUACUUUUUUCUUCAUAAAA